RNAcentral lists this long non-coding RNA (531 nucleotides) under Equus caballus (horse). RNAcentral's name for it is "lncRNA (ENSECAG00000054649.1)". The record is from RNAcentral. Lineage: Eukaryota; Metazoa; Chordata; Mammalia; Perissodactyla; Equidae.
GCCCCAAGGAUGGCUCUGUCCACGAAGGCAAGAGGAGGCACGGAACGAGCACACACACACCCCGCCCCCGCCACCCUUGGAGAGGCGGACGUUUUCCAAGGCGGACGUCUGUGCGCGGCAGGGCAGCUCGGGUCACGGCACCCGCCGUCUCCGCCAGGCCCACAGGCUUCCACGAAGAAACCUAAAGCCCUGCGACGAGGCAUGAGGCGAACCGCGCCAGGAAAAUCGGACCGUGCUGGAGGAACGCUUUCUCCUCGGAGACCCCGCGCCUGAGACGGGGGAGGAUCCAAGGCCACGGUCGCCCAAGCAGAAGAAACCUAAAGCCCUGCGACGAGGCAUGAGGCGAACCGCGCCAGGAAAAUCGGACCGUGCUGGAGGAACGCUUUCUCCUCGGAGACCCCGCGCCUGAGACGGCGGAGGAUCCAAGGCCACGGUCGCCCAAGCAAUCGAUGAGCAGCGGCGGCCGGCCGCCCGGCAACAACGUGCCGGACCUCAGUUUCGAUGAGAACGACGGUAGUGAGUUCUCACUCA